CACCGCGGCUAUACAGGAUGGCCCAAAUUGAUAGACAUCGGCGUAAAAAGUGGUCAUGAUCUUAUUAAAAUAAAGCCAAAUACCUUCAAUACUGUAAUACGCACCCGAAGACAAGAAGCUCAACUACGAAAGUGACUUUAGAAACUCUGGCCCCACGAAAGCUGUGACA
This 169-nucleotide ribosomal RNA is filed under the name Lophodolos acanthognathus (whalehead dreamer). Its description in RNAcentral is "partial small subunit ribosomal RNA". RNAcentral also lists the same sequence under 1 other name. The record is from RNAcentral. Lineage: Eukaryota; Metazoa; Chordata; Actinopteri; Lophiiformes; Oneirodidae.